This 72-nucleotide transfer RNA is filed under the name Cordylochernes scorpioides. RNAcentral's name for it is "tRNA-Gly". It matches the Rfam family "tRNA". From Rfam's summary of the family: Transfer RNA (tRNA) molecules are approximately 80 nucleotides in length. Their secondary structure includes four short double-helical elements and three loops (D, anti-codon, and T loops). The record is from RNAcentral. Lineage: Eukaryota; Metazoa; Arthropoda; Arachnida; Pseudoscorpiones; Chernetidae.
GCAUCGGUGGUUCAGUGGUAGAAUGCUCGCCUGCCAACGCGGGCGGCCAGGGUUCGAUUCCCGGCCGAUGCA